GGGGUCAUGGUUUCCGAGGGGGCACCGGCGGCGGAGCUGCUGUGGCCCUGCGGUCGCCUAGAGGGCUCGCGUGGCGCUGCCCCGGUCGCGCGGAUCGGGCGUUGGGGGCGCCGUCUUCUCCGGGAGCUGCUGGCCGGGGUGCGCACCGUGCCCCGGGAUCCCGGGAGCAGCUGCUCCUCGGGGAACAGGCGGUUGCAUUUCCAGCAUCUCCCGGUCCUAGACGAUGGGGCUCCGGGCAGUCUGGCGGCUCGGGCGCUCCCUGGCUCUUACGUGCGCCGGGUUCGGAGCGCGCCCAGCGCCCGAAGCCCCAUUCCUGAUCCUCGGAGCGCUGCGCACGAAACGCUCGGUGGCGGCGCGGCUGUGCGGGCUGGCGGGUGGACCGAACGGUGGCGCUGGAGCGGGCUGCGAUCUGGAUCUUCGGGAAAUGCCGAGCGGAGCGCGCUGCCGGCUCUAUUUAAGGAGUCGCCUGACGUCAGCCGCGCGGGUCCCCCGAGCCCGCGCCGCGCCCGGGGACCUGGCCCGCCCCCUGCGCCCCCACUCUCUUACCCCUCCCAGAAACACAGGACGCGGGCGCUCCUCACGCAGGCCACUCCCUACAGAGCCCCAGGCCAGCUUUGGGGCGGUGAAGCGAAGGUGUCAAGGCAUAGUACUCCUCUGGGAGGCUGGACAACCCUACCACGCGGGCCUCUCGACACCGAGGGACACGAACCCAGGUCGAGAUCGCGUCGACAUCCAGACCAGACAGACCCAGACGCAGACGCAGGCACCCUGCCCUGAUGCGCGGUCCCACCACCCUGACCCGCACACACACGCACAGGCACAGAAGCACACACGCCCUAGCUCGGACACACCCCCACACGGGGAGGAGAAGUCCCCUGACCUGGGCCCAGAUACACCGACAGGGACACUGCCCCCCUCUCGACAUCUCGCCAAAUGGACACACACAGCCCGGAAUCCGACACGGAGCGCACGCACGCCCAGGACUGGGACACGCGCUGUAGAUGGGAUGGGUGGAGGAGCCGAGCGCUCCUCUCCUGGAUGUGAGCUAAUUUGUCUAUGUCUCUUCCAAAAUCUUGCACCUGGGACUGCAUGAGGAAUUUCAGAUAUGGAUUGAAAAGUUCAACAGGACUCUCACCUCUCUUUUAGACAAGAUUUCACCAUGUUGGCCAUGAUGGUCUCGAUCUCUUGACAUCGUGAUCCACCCGCCUCGGCCUCCCAAAGUAAGGUUUAUGCAUAAGGUUAGUGUUUGUCACAUUAUACAAAUAAAAUUGGAAGCAAUCUUAACGCUGCAUUAACUGGUUAUUGCUUAAAUAAAUUACGGUUUCUUGCUCUCUCAAUGUCAACCCCCUAUCCCAAUUCAGAGUUGACUGGGAAGAGGCAGGAAGUCAGACUUGUAUUAGGCAUGUGUGUCUGAACUUGGCCCCUUAAUGAUCUAACCUACUGAUUCUCAGCCCUGGCUGCACAUUAGGAUCACCUGGGGAACUUUAAAAAAAUGCUGAUAUCUAAGGCUCCCUCCUCUUCCCAAGAUUCUGAUUCAAUUGGUCCUGGGUGAGGCCUAGGCAUUGGUAUUAUUUUUAAAGCUCCCUGGGUGAUUCUAAUGUGCAGCCAGGGUCAAGAACCAUUGCUAACCAGCACUCCCUUUAAGUUGAUUAAUUAUAUAGGCUAUUGACCAAAGCUGGAACUAACAGCCCUCAAGAAACCCCAGGGAAGCCACGCCAUUGCUUGAG
This 1727-nucleotide long non-coding RNA is filed under the name Papio anubis (olive baboon). Its description in RNAcentral is "lncRNA (ENSPANG00000037333.1)". Lineage: Eukaryota; Metazoa; Chordata; Mammalia; Primates; Cercopithecidae. The record is from RNAcentral.